This 253-nucleotide ribosomal RNA is filed under the name uncultured bacterium. RNAcentral describes it as "partial 16S ribosomal RNA". It matches the Rfam family "Bacterial small subunit ribosomal RNA", at positions 524 to 776 of the family's 1533-position model. The record is from RNAcentral.
UACAGAGGGUGCGAGCGUUAAUCGGAAUUACUGGGCGUAAAGCGUGCGUAGACGGUUAUGUAAGUUAGGUGUGAAAGCCCCGGGCUCAACCUGGGAAUUGCAUUUAAGACUGCAUAGCUAGGGUGCGGAAGAGGGAAGCGGAAUUUCCGGUGUAGCGGUGAAAUGCGUAGAUAUCGGAAGGAACAUCAGUGGCGAAAGCGGCUUCCUGGUCCAGCACCGACGUUCAGGCACGAAAGCGUGGGGAGCAAACAGG